GUAUGGUAUUGGCAUACCGUGGCAGUGACGGUUAACGGGGAAUUAGGGUUCGAUUCCGGAGAGGGAGCCUGAGAAACGGCUACCACAUCUAAGGAAGGCAGCAGGCGCGCAAAUUACCCAAUCCUAACAGAAAAAGGGAGGUAGUGACAAGAAAUAACAAUACAAGGCAGUAAAAUUGUUUUGUAAUUGGAAUGAUAGAAAUUUAAACACUUUCUAAAGUAUCAAUUGGAGGGCAAGUCUGGUGCCAGCAGCCGCGGUAAUUCCAGCUCCAAUAGCGUAUAUUAAAGUUGUUGCAGUUAAAAAGCUCGUAGUUGGAUUUUUGCUAAAAUUAACUGGUCUGCUUUUUGUAAAAGUAGUAUCUUGGUAUGUUUUUGGCAUUUAUGUCCUAAGGAAAUGUUUUUUGCUUAAUUGUAAUAAACAAUAAUUAGGACUUUUACUUUGAGAAAAUUAGGGUGUUUCAAGCAGGCUUACGCUUUGAAUACUGCAGCAUGGAAUAAUAAAAUAGGAUUUUGGUUCUACAUUAUUGGUUUUAAGAGCUAAAUUAAUGAUUAAUAGGGACAGUUGGGGGCAUUUGUAUUUAACU
This 583-nucleotide ribosomal RNA is filed under the name Haemogregarina sp. Its description in RNAcentral is "SSU rRNA". It matches the Rfam family "Eukaryotic small subunit ribosomal RNA", at positions 328 to 903 of the family's 1831-position model. The record is from RNAcentral. Lineage: Eukaryota; Apicomplexa; Haemogregarinidae.